This 1089-nucleotide ribosomal RNA is filed under the name bacterium. RNAcentral describes it as "bacterial SSU rRNA". It matches the Rfam family "Bacterial small subunit ribosomal RNA", at positions 50 to 1135 of the family's 1533-position model. The record is from RNAcentral.
UUGAAUGCAAGGUCGAACGGGAUAUUUUUGUAGCAAUACCGGAAUAUUCAGUGGCGAACGGGUGCGUAACACGUGGGUAACAUGCCGGGAAGAGGAGAAUAGCCCAGGGAAACUUGGAUUAAUGCUCCAUGUGGUCGCAAGACUAAAGACGGGGUAACCUGUCGCUUCCUGAUUGGCCCGCGGCCUAUCAGCUAGUUGGUGAGGUAAAGGCUCACCAAGGCAACGACGGGUAGCUGGUCUGAGAGGAUGACCAGCCACACUGGAACUGAGACACGGUCCAGACACCUACGGGUGGCAGCAGUCGAGAAUCUUUCACAAUGGGGGCAACCCUGAUGGAGCGACGCCGCGUGGAGGAUAAGGUCUUCGGAUUGUAAACUCCUGUCAUGCGAGAGUAAGGCCCAUGCGUUAACUGCGUGUGGGAUUGACAGUACCGCAAGAGGAAGAGACGGCUAACUCUGUGCCAGCAGCCGCGGUAAUACAGAGGUCUCAAGCGUUGUUCGGAAUUACUGGGCGUAAAGGGUGCGUAGGCUGCGCAGAAAGUCAGAUGUGAAAUCCGGGGGCUCAACCUCCGAAUUGCAUCCGAUACUCCUGUGCUAGAGGACUGGAGAGGAGCUUGGAAUUCUCGGUGUAGCAGUGAAAUGCGUAGAGAUCGAGAGGAACACUAGUGGCGAAGGCUGGGCUCUGGACAGUAUCUGACGCUGAGGCACGAAGGUCAGGGGAGCAAACGGGAUUAGAUACCCCGGUAGUCCUGACAGUAAACGGUGCACGCUUGGUGUGGGAAGUGACCCUUUCCGUGCCGAAGCUAACGCGAUAAGCGUGCCGCCUGGGAAGUACGAUCGCAAGAUUAAAACUCAUAGAAAUUGACGGGGACCCGCACAAGCGGUGGAGUAUGUGGCUUAAUUCGAUGCAACGCGAAGAACCUUACCUGGCCUUGACAUGCAUUGUGUCGUCGGUGAAAGCCGGCUAAGGUAGCAAUACACGCUUUGCACAGGUGCUGCAUGGCUGUCAGCAGCUCGUGUCGGGAAAUGUUGGGUUAAGUCCCGCAACGAGCGCAACCCCUGUAGUCCGUUGCCACCGGUGUAUGCCAGA